GGAGGGGUAGCGAAGUGGCUAAACGCGGCGGACUGUAAAUCCGCUCCCUCAGGGUUCGGCGGUUCGAAUCCGUCCCCCCUCCACCA
RNAcentral lists this transfer RNA (86 nucleotides) under Guptibacillus hwajinpoensis. RNAcentral describes it as "Pseudalkalibacillus hwajinpoensis tRNA-Tyr". It matches the Rfam family "tRNA". From Rfam's summary of the family: Transfer RNA (tRNA) molecules are approximately 80 nucleotides in length. Their secondary structure includes four short double-helical elements and three loops (D, anti-codon, and T loops). The record is from RNAcentral. Lineage: Bacteria; Bacillati; Bacillota; Bacilli; Caryophanales; Guptibacillaceae.